AUAAUUACUACCGUAAGAGAAUGCAAAACAACUAUUUAUCUUUUAUAGCUGAAGCCGUUAGAAAAACGGUAUUUCUAAAUACUAAUAUUCAAUACUUCUUGCGUCUUAACUUGAAAUUUUUUCAAUAGACUUGAAUCAAACGCGAGGAAUACAAAUAAAAAAAGCAAGCUAGAAAGUUCGAUGAAACUUGAACUCAGAACUUUCUACUCUGAUGCUAUAAUAAAGAAUGCGAAACAACGAUUUGUUUCGCUUUGGAAUUUAUAUUCGACAGAUAGGAUCUUCUUUUCUCACCUCUAUUCUCACUAAAGUAUUUAAUUUUCAGAGUCAUUGUUU
This 333-nucleotide long non-coding RNA is filed under the name Ananas comosus (pineapple). RNAcentral's name for it is "long non-coding RNA (ACOM_LNC014417)". The record is from RNAcentral. Lineage: Eukaryota; Viridiplantae; Streptophyta; Magnoliopsida; Poales; Bromeliaceae.